RNAcentral lists this transfer RNA (63 nucleotides) under Chrysodinopsis sp. EMHAU-1507081. RNAcentral's name for it is "tRNA-Thr". The record is from RNAcentral. Lineage: Eukaryota; Metazoa; Arthropoda; Insecta; Coleoptera; Chrysomelidae.
GCUAAAAUAAUUUAUAAAAAAUAUUGGUCUUGUAAAUCAAAAAAAAGCUUAACUUUUUUAGCU